GCAGCUUCAUAAAAUACUCGUACGUAAGUAUUCACCCCAUGUAAGUGACGUGAGACCGGCUGAUAUUUAGUAUGGUGUGGUAUGAUGUCUUAUCAUCCGAUCAAUAAAAGAUAAAUUAUAAUUUAGUAUCUUCACCGAUUGAUCUCGUUACUUUACAUACAUAGGUUUCGCUCAAGCUUGAGAUUACCAGUGAGAUUCCGGAAUCUGAAUUAUACCUGCAAGGUAAAUUUUACUAUUAAGCUAGAUUUAUGUAUGUAGAUAGACGAAUAGAUAAAUCAAUCUAGCUACAGCUACGCCCGCCGCUCGAUGCUCUUAUUAGAUUUUGUGUACGAGACGAUAAAAGCUAUGUCAUUCAUGUAACUUCUUAAUAAACUAGGCCUCAAGCUAAGACUUGAA
Eupeodes corollae is the source of this 396-nucleotide long non-coding RNA. RefSeq lists it as uncharacterized. The record is from RefSeq and is a predicted model, not a curated record. The transcript has 2 exons. NCBI's taxonomy places the organism in Eukaryota, Metazoa, Arthropoda, Insecta, Diptera, Syrphidae.